Molecule: non-coding RNA, 2008 nt
Organism: Phascolarctos cinereus (koala)
Lineage: Eukaryota; Metazoa; Chordata; Mammalia; Diprotodontia; Phascolarctidae
Source: RefSeq, a predicted model, not a curated record
CACACAGACAACCAAGGAUGCUGCACCAAUCAAAACCUCUGUGCUACAGGCCAUGCCAUAGUCUCCUCACUAGAGAAUAAAAGAGCAGCUAGAGUCUCAGGAUGCAGGCAGCUCAGGACCUAUUCCCCAGCAGCCUUCCAGCCCCCAGAGAGGUAAUUAGAGAGCAAAUGAAAUGUUUCCACGCCCUUUGUGCUCUCCAUUCCCCCAGUGAGGGGGAACAGAUCCCCUGAUGCAAGGUAUAACACAAAGAGCCUUAGCCUGGGAUUUGGGAGUUUUUGUCCUACUUCUGUCACUAUAACCCCUCUCUAGGACUGUCUCUUCUUCGAAAAACAAUGUUGGACUAGAUGAUCUCUAAGGUCUCUUGCAACUUUGACAUUACAAUGUCAGAGUGAAAUAAAGGACAAGCCAGACUAUCUGUGGAAAUGAGCACAGACACACAAAGAUGCAGCCUUAGCCAUCCUGGGCCCCCUGAUGUUUUUUUCCCUGCUUGUACAAAACAUUGUUGGCCUGUGCCCUGGCCUACUUCCAGACCACAGGCAUGUGGAAGGUGUGGACCUAACAACAGAUUGAGGCCCUUGAGGAACUACACAUAAGAGGCAUGCCCAAAGACAGUAUGCCAACUUGGGGAUUACUGGUGUGGUACAAGUCGCAGUGGUUUAAACAAAGCUAAAGGACAACUUUGGAUGCUCCAUUUCUAGAUCCGCUGGGCUCUGGUACCAAAGCAGCCACCUGGGAGGGUUCCUUGGUUCUAAGUUACUGAAGAUAUAGCUCUGCUUUCCUACAGGCCACAAAGAGGAUGAAUCCAAAGGGGGCUGGUGAAAUUUAGCUGCUUCAAUGUGGAAGGAAAGCACCUGUGAGGCCAAAGGCUACGUGGUGACAACAGGGCUCCAGCUUUACUCCAAACACAAAUCUCUGCCUCUACGUGGAAGACUCAUUUCCCAAAUUGUGGUUUUUAUCGUCUGAAACAAGAAGUACAAGUUGUGAGCUGUGUACAAAAGAUAUGACUGCCCAGAAACUCUUGGCUCAAUGUACAUGUGAUGACUGCCUUGGAGAAAGGACAGACUGUACCUGACAUGGGAGAUGGACAGAGUGGUGGCGGCUUUACUGGCUUUUCCGCUGUUCUGCAGCUUGGUCCUCAAUUCAUUCAUCUCGGCGUCUUUAAACUGAAGUUCUGACUGCAGCGACUGGAGCUAGAAGGCAAGAGACAGUCUAUCCAUUCAACAAAUAUUCUUCAAACACCUACUAGGUACAAUACAGUAUGUUAGGGAACGCAAAGACAUAAAUGAAAACAUGUUGUGGAUGAGCAGGUUCGUGUGUCUAGACCAUCUUUAAUACUGACCUAAAGAUUUCACAUCUUGAACUAGAAAAGGGAAACCAAUAAAAAACAAGGAAAGGAAAUUGCUGUAAGGCAGCUAAUCACAUCGAAUGAUCUCAAGUUCUAGCCUUGUUUCUGAAUCUGGGCAAGAAUUAAUACAUUAUAGAUCACCUCAUUUAUAUAAAAAAGUGAUUUCCAAAGCCUCCUUGAUAUGUAUAGCCCAAAUAUCUAGAGUCUACAUGCAGUGCAUAGGGCUAUGGGUCCAUUUCGUUGGUGGCUUAAAUGAAAUGGGGUAGCUCAACCGCAAUUGUAGGAGUUUGAAACUGUUGAUAAAACUAAGGGUCUGUGUAUCAGCUAAGUUCUGUGUACAGAGGACAACUAAAAUGUAGGAAAUCAUUCCAUCAGGAAGUCCUCUGUGUUAACUUUACUGGUGUGAAGUGCCCUUCAGGAAGCCCUAAACCUGGAAUUUUAUAUGCUCAAUGUGAUUUUAACAAAAAAUCAGAAAAAGCCACAAGAGCGCAACCAGAGAUUUUAAACUGAGUUCAGCAGGGCACUGUCAUGGGAUGGAAAUAAUAUUAGAUUUGGACCCAGGAGAGAUGGGUUCUGACAUUUAUUAGCUAUGUGAUCAUGGGCAAGUCUCUUAGCUUCCCUGCACCUCAUCUGUAAAAUGGACGUAAUGAUGGAGAGAUGAUA